This 599-nucleotide ribosomal RNA is filed under the name uncultured bacterium. Its description in RNAcentral is "bacterial SSU rRNA". It matches the Rfam family "Bacterial small subunit ribosomal RNA", at positions 355 to 957 of the family's 1533-position model. The record is from RNAcentral.
UGAGGAAUCUUCCGCAAUGGGCGAAAGCCUGACGGGGCAAUGCCGCGUGGAGGAUGAAGGCCCAAUGGGUCGUAAACUUCUUUAGAUCAGAGACGAAGAGAUGACGGUACCUGAAGAACUAAGCAUCGGCUAAACCCCGUGCCAGCAGCCGCGGUAAGACGGGGGAUGCGAGCGUUAUCCGGAAUGAUUGGGCGUAAAGGGUCCGCAGGUGGCCCGGUCAGUCCGCUGUCAAAACCUGGGGCUCAACCCUGGAGAGGCGGCGGAGACCACCGGGCUUGAGUCCGGUAGGGGCAGAGGGAAUUCCCGGUGGAGCGGUGAAAUGCGUAGAGAUCGGGAAGAACGCCAAGGGCGAAGGCACUCUGCUAGGCCUGAUUUCGCGACUGACACUCAGGGACGAGAGCCAGGGGAGCGAAUGGGAUUAGAUACCCCAGUAGUCCUGGCCGUAAACGAUGGAUACCAAGCCCUGCGCGUAUCGACCCGGGCAGGGCUGUAGCUAACGCAUGAAGUAUCCCGCCUGGGGAGUACGCUCGCAAGAGUGAAACUCAAAGGAAUUGACGGGAGCCCGCACAAGCGGUGGAGCAUGUGGUUUAAUUCGAUGC